GAACGCAGACGACAAAGAGAGCCAUCUGUUGACAGUCAUAUAUUGCAACUGUCAUGGAAUUGCUCUCUUUAUAUGCCUGUGU
Molecule: non-coding RNA, 82 nt
Organism: Wuchereria bancrofti
Lineage: Eukaryota; Metazoa; Nematoda; Chromadorea; Rhabditida; Onchocercidae
Source: Rfam